Molecule: long non-coding RNA, 976 nt
Filed under: Homo sapiens (human)
Lineage: Eukaryota; Metazoa; Chordata; Mammalia; Primates; Hominidae
Description: HSALNT0338772
Source: RNAcentral
GUGGAAGCAGCGCGGACCCACGGCACACCGAACGCACUCCAACAGAACCCGACGCAGACACGCGCUUUCAACCGGCGGAGACACUGGCAGCUGAUCCAUAUGAAUUCCUCUUAUUAAGAAAAAUAAAGCAUCCAGGAUUCAAUGAAGAACUGACUAUCACCUUGUUAAUCAUUCAGAAACAUGUUGCAGGCUUAAGCCAUUUUUGAUAUAGAUACUGAAACAAUUACUUGCUAAGAGCAAACUUGAAGGUAUGGAUAAGGCCCUGAGUCAUCUUCCUGAGCUGAAUGAUAGUUAAGCUGAAUGUACGUAUAAAAUAUGAUUUUCUAACCACUUGCUCGCCAACAAGGAAAACUUUUAAGUAGAGCAGAACCUGAAUAGACAAGACAUUUCUUUCUUUUGGUAGAAAAUGAUUUACCAUCACUGUGUAGUUAAUUGUAGACUAGGUAAUUUUAACUUUGUGAUUUAUUGCCGGAGACAUUUUCUUCUGUACUGUAAAGUGUGUGUCAAAAAAAAAAAUAGCGAUUUUGGAGGAUUAGGGGACUUUGAUAAAUUGCCUGCAAUUCUGGCAGUAUGAACUGCAUAUUAAUUUCUGUCUUUCAAGAACAUUUUUAUUUAUUAAUUCCUUACAAAAACUCCCUAAACUUUGGAACAGCUCUCAAUUGCCUGUAUUCUUUUUUUUCUUAUUAUGGUACUCUUCUAGAGAUUUGGCUUGCAUCUGUGAAUAAGCCAGGACAUCUUCAGAAAUUGUCUGAUUAAAAACACCACCAAUGGAGUUUCAUUAAAUUUGUAUUGCUCUGACUAGUGAAACACACACAUCUAUGUUGCUGAGGAUAUUUUACUGCAGUUCGAGUUGUAAUAAUAGCUCUGUUUAAGAUCCGUCAGUCACUUGAAUCUUCUCUAAGGCUUUGUAUGUUAGAAGUUAAUUUGCUUUCUUACAAGGCCACAUUCUAUCUUGUAACUAAACAACUGAAUUUUA